Molecule: long non-coding RNA, 1193 nt
Organism: Clupea harengus (Atlantic herring)
Lineage: Eukaryota; Metazoa; Chordata; Actinopteri; Clupeiformes; Clupeidae
Source: Ensembl
GGAAACACCACUCUGACUCACUUCGUGAUUACUUCUCCCCAUUUUAGGGGUAUAACAUUUGAAGGCACCGCUGGGAUAGCUCUUCAGAUGCCCAGUGUCCACAACAUGGCGGCUGAGUUCUGAGGCAGCGAUUCCCCUACAAAACAACCCAGGCAGGCAGGCUACAACGGAGAGGAUGCGGCAGUGAGGAGGGCUGAAAGCUGGUAUUUGAGCACACGCUACCUGAGGCCAAAGAGUGAUCAUCAGGGGAUCCUCCGCCUUCUGGCUAAGCUCGAGCUGAAACUACAGGGCCUUUGACAUGCCCCGGCCCUCCGUUCACCGGGUAGUGCACAGGGUGAGUGCGAAGAUCGCUGCGCUCCUGUACACAGUGGUCCGACAUCCUACAGCAGAGGAACUCCCACGCCUGGGUAUCCGCUUCGCCCGUCUUGCUGGAACAGCAGCCUUCAGCAGAGUGGUGGGGGCUAUUGAUGGCUGCCACGUCAGGGUGAAGCCCCCAGCAGAGGAUGCUGCCUGUUAUUUUAACAGGAAGCUGUUCCACUCCAUCCAGCUGCAGGCCAUCUGUGAUGACCAAUGCAAAUUCCUGGAUGUGUUUGUGGGGUACACAGGGUCAGUGCAUGAUGCCAGGGUCCUGAGGAACAGCCCCAUCUAUUACGAGCAGUCCUACCCUCCACCAGGCUACUGUAUCCUUGGGGAUGGUGGCUACCCCUGCCUGUCCCAAUCUGCCUUAUGACCCCUUUCAGGCAGCCUGUCCGCAACCACCUCCAAGCUCGCAACAACUGCUGCCUGUCAAAGGCGAGGUGCGUUGUGGAGAGGUCCUUCGGGAUCCCGAAGACGCGAUGGCAGGGUUUUUCCUGCAUAGAGAAAAUUUGGGCGCGCGCCUAAGCCGUUUUCCUGAGCGCCUACAACAAAUCCCGAGCGCCUAAGGCAAAAAAAAAAGUGCGAUAAAAAAUAAAUAAAAAAAAGCUGUCAUUCAUGGCGCAAUUCAGCUUAAUGGUGUUUUGAGCCCUCACCGUCGACUUCAAGGCAGCAGCUUGUCCCACCUCCCACCCCAAUCAUUGAAAAGAGGCUGCUCCAAGCUUGCCAGUUUAGAGAAUACUUGGUUUGAAUUUGAGAUUUGAGCAAGCAACUUAAUGUAGCUAGCUUUUAGCUGUUUUAAACCAAGGCACUUCAAAAAUGUUGUUUACAACCUGCUU